GUAGAGUUCUUUUAACUACACCGAGUAUUAAUGAACAUAUAUUCAGAGAGCGAUAGAAGGAAGAGCAAGAAAAACAGCUGUUGGAGAAAACAAAUGAUGAAUAGGAAGAAAAGUGGAUGAUGCCCCCUUUGAAUAGACUCUACUCAGAAGGGCCAGUAAAAUUCUCAAAGUAAAGAGUAACCAAUAUUGUGGCUCUCGAAUUCUUCAAGACGUUCUUGAAGCCCUUGUGCUCAAAUGCAAUUUCUACAAUGGUAAGUGAGGUUUGUGAAUUACUUGCAAAUCCAGUUGAAGUUGUUGAAUCUUUUUUUUUUUCUGUAGUAGUCAUUCUUUCUCUCUUUUUCCACUCUCUUUUUGCUUCUCGUCUCUUCCAAAAGUAAAUUCAUUUUAAAGUUGUUUUCCCAGUUAUGCAGUGGGGAGAAUGAAUCCUAAGACACUAAUGAGUUUAAACCUGCUCUCUACAUUUUUACUGGGCUCACUGCAAAGCCCAUUUACAGCAAAGGAGACUUUACAUCAACUAUAACACAGGUCAGGCGGGGUAAGUAUGUUGCAAUUGAGAAAAAUUCUCAUCAUCCCUCCUCCUUUCAUCUCACUCUUCAGUCUCUCUACUUUUCAGUCUGAAUGCUUUUUACUUCACUUUGUGUCCAUUCUGUCUCCUCCUCCUCAGUAGAGCUGAGGUUCAAGCUGAACUUUAACAAGUAAAAUUUGACUGGGUUAAUAUAUUAACUACAAUAAGUGCAUUUAUCUCUUACUAUAUCUUUAAAGUGGAAAUCUUAGUAACAUCUUUUAAAGUGAAUUUAACACUUCUAUAACUUCACAGGUUCAUAAGAAAAAGAGAAGAAAAACACCUAGAAGCUUGCCCUUGCAGGAUUCACUUAGUUAUUUUAUUUUUGCCUUUCACUAGAAUGUCAGUUAAAGAAUUACGUACGGAAGUGUGAGAUGUCGAUCUUGUCAGUAAAAUCUCACAAUUUCUGUGUGCAGCAGAGCAUGAUUUUGGAUAUCAUCAGCAAAGAAUGUGAGCUUCUCCCAAGAGUGACCAUGGAUGAGAAAGUCCUGCAGAACCAGUGUGUACGUGCUGCUUCUUUUCCCAGAGAUCUGUCACUUUUCUGCAUUGGCAGUUGCAGUUUCAUUAUGAAAAUACAUAGACAGUACCCCAAGAUGGAUAUCUGAAGAAACUGCAGAGAAUGCAGGCAAGUAAAUGAAAAAAGUGCUAGAAAAGUUUUGGUGAUUUGA
Molecule: long non-coding RNA, 1230 nt
Filed under: Numida meleagris (helmeted guineafowl)
Lineage: Eukaryota; Metazoa; Chordata; Aves; Galliformes; Numididae
Description: lncRNA (ENSNMEG00000013884.1)
Source: RNAcentral